Molecule: long non-coding RNA, 428 nt
Filed under: Brassica napus (rape)
Lineage: Eukaryota; Viridiplantae; Streptophyta; Magnoliopsida; Brassicales; Brassicaceae
Description: long non-coding RNA (BNAP_LNC011343)
Source: RNAcentral
GGCCUGUGCCUCUCCUCUCUUUCUCGAUCAAAAGACCUCUUCCUGUGGAUAAAUGAUGAUACCAUCAACUUAAAAAUGCAACAAUUUUAAACCAGAAAAUAACUGCAACACAUUAUCAGUACCUGUCACGGUCUCGACUUUUGUAAUGAUCAUUAUCAUCCAUAAAGUCUCUCUCUCACGUUCCCUUUUCUCACUAUGUUCUCUGCUAAGGUGUCUAUAACAAUUUCUCCCAUUGUGGCGGUCGCAUUCACUACCCUUUUCAUCAUGUCUCUAUCUCUGGCCCUGCUCUUCACACUUUCAAUGUCGAUCGUGAUUCACGUCUGUCUUUUUGACGUCCCAUUUUCUUAUCUUCCUCACUGGCUAUUGAAAAUUCUGUUUCAAAUUCAUGAGAUUCAAGCUCUGAAACAAAUGGUAAAGGCUUCUUCAAA